Long non-coding RNA from Scylla paramamosain (green mud crab), 2835 nucleotides. RefSeq lists it as uncharacterized. The record is from RefSeq and is a predicted model, not a curated record. The transcript has 3 exons. Lineage: Eukaryota; Metazoa; Arthropoda; Malacostraca; Decapoda; Portunidae.
ACAACUGAAAGUGAGAGAAAAUAGAACUCUGGGGAAAUUAAUACUGCAUUCCUUAUAUCUGGAUCUAUUUUUUCUGCCAUUCCCGUUCAUAAAUGUAUCUAAUCGUAACUUUAAUUAUCUUUACUAUAUUGUCUAUUUGACACGGUUUUAAUUGAACUAGAAAGGAAAAUUCCACUCCCUGUAACUGAACCUACUUCUCUAUCUAUCAUUCCCAUUCACAUAUUUACCUAAUAAUAACUUUCUAAUUAUUGAUGACUAUUUGACACUUGGUAUUUCACUGAUCUACUGUCACUGUUAUCACCGUCCCUAAAUUUAUCGUAUGCUAACUCAAACUUUUACUAAGUCACUUGAUAUUCAACCCUAGACUAAAACUGGAGGCACAAAAAAGGUUUAUCUACUUCAUUCUUUAUGCUUGGAUUUCGUCAUUUAAAAGCGUGUUUAUCCUGAACUUUUACCGCAACAUUCUAUUUAGGAGGAAAAGCCAGAGCAGACAAAGGGUUGAAGCUUCUUAUUGGCUUUGUAAGGAACAUGAUGAGUGAGUGAAAUAUUAAGCAGAAUAACAGGUGCUCAGAUAAGCAUUACUGAAACAGUAAUGUGUCAGGCUCGAUAUAUAUUUGGGUUGGUUUUUAAUAUUUUUCUAAUGAAGGUGUUUGUCAGUUAUUUUUAGACAGGUAGCAGCGAGGCGUUUAUAAUAACCUGAAAAAUGGGCUUGUAAAUAUAUGUUUUUCCAAUGCCUGGAUUAUUGACGGAAAUAUUUUAAUAGCCUGCAGCUUAACCGUUAAUUGCUCUUUUGUAAACAAAGUCCUUCAACUAAUUAUGUUAAUCUCCCUCUCUGGAAAGGAAGCUCUUUUCUGAACCGAUAUUUUUCCAUAUGGACAUACUUUAUAAAGCACCAAUUUCUUUAUACAUGAUGUGUUCACUUUCUUUAUUCAUGUGUUCCUUACAAGCCGAUCUUUUCUCCUUACUAAAGUUUGUUCGUAAGGAAAAUCUUCUAAAUUCGUAGUUUCCAUAAAUUUUCCUUAGAAACACCGUCUUUUCUUUAGCCAUGUAAGUUUCUUCAUAAGCAAAGUCCUGUGAAUACGUAGGAUUUCAUGAAGACGUUGGAAAGACGAAGUUCUUUAUCGUAAAUUAAGUGUAUUUUUCUUAGAACUUUCCUUCACCGACGAGUGUCAGUUUUUGGUAAAGAAAGUCCUGCUUCCACGUGAAUCUUAGCCAGGGAUCAAGGCGAAGCGUAACGACGCCGCGGGUUCGCUGCCAAGAUGAAGAGCAUCGGGGGUGUUGCGGCCAAACGGCGGGGAACCUUCACUCACUCACUGCCUUUAGAGUCUUCCUCCAAUUUUGAGUCAUUGAUCUCCCAGAAUCGAUGAAUUGCAAAGUGUUUACAGUCCUUCAGGAGAUCAGAGGAUGGAAGAUUUAAGAGCUGAAAAGGAGAUGCGGAGAAAUUGGUUCUCAAAUAGCAUGGUGUACGAAUAGAAAAGACUUAGAAAUUAGGUCAGUAGGGAGCUUUAAAAGAAAAUUGGACGGAUUUAUAGAUAGGGAUAACGGCAAUAGACAUAUUUUAUACAGGAACUGCCACAUGUAGACCUGAUUGCCUCUUGUGCUGCUUCCCUUAUUGGAGUUAAUGCCAAGAGCUAAUCGACUUGUGGCUUCCAGUGUAAGACCUUCACUUUCCAACAUCAGGAUGGCGUUGAUGCGUUGCACACUGGGAUUGCCACUUAAAGACUUCAUGGGCUUUUCGCAGCUUCCCAUAUUUUAUGUUAAGUCUAGGAAAAAAAUACAGUAGUAGUUAGUGCUAAAGGACAGUGGACUUCUAAAUCCUACUCCACGACUUUCAACUUCCCAGCAUCAGAAAAGCGUUGAUAUGUUGCAUACAGGGAUUGCCAUUUAUAGAUUUGAUGGCUUCUUGUAGCUUGCCUUAUUAUUUUAUAUUAAGAUUAGGAAAAAAUUACAAUAAGAGUUAAUGCUAAGAAUUAAUCGACUUGUGUCCUUCGUUACAUGACUCACCUCCCAGCAUCAGGAUGGCAACUGUCACUUAUGGACCUAAAAGCUUCUUUGCAGCUUUUCUAAUUUUCACAUGUUCUUAGAUUCGAAAAUAAACACUUGGAAAGUCAGCGCUAAGGAUUAAACUACUACUGGCUACUACAAGACUCCCUUCCCAGCACGAGAGGCGCAGGUAGUCUCCAGCACGCCCUUGAGUAUCGGAAGGAAAACACUGGUAAUGGAUGUGACGCCUGGCUAUUCCUUUGCUGGCUUCAAAUACACAUUUAUCCACGUCACAGGGGGUUCAGGUGGCCCUUCCUUUGCAUAGUGAGGGCGGCGCCGACGGGCAACCCUUUGAGCCGCCACCGCCAGGCCGCGCCACGCAGGGAUGCCGGGAACCCAACAAAUCAAAAGAAAUCGAGCUUGACGGGAAUGCCUGUACAGUUGGAAUUGAUGAGUAAGUGAGUGAGUGAGGGAGUGAGAACUGCACCGAGUGAGUGAGGGAGUGAGAACUGCACCAUCACACAUGCCCAAGGUGUAUCCAGGAGGAGGAGGAGGAAGAAGAAGAAGAAGAAGAAGAAGAAGAAGUAGAAGAGGUGAGGUUUUCGUUGCUGCCGGGCAAGUAGGAAUUGGAAAAGAAGAAGAAGAAGAAGACGAAGAGAAAGAGGAAGAGAGGGAGUCUGUGUGAGGUGGGAGGAAGAGGAGGGAAGACAAUGCAAUUCCCUGCUAAUCCUUUCUCUCCAGUGGUCUCAGUUUUGGAUCGUCUUCAAAGCCUCUUCAACUCUCCUUCACACUCGUCACAAAGGAACCCAGUAACCUAGUCUUGAGAAUCAAUUAGAAUCAUUUUUUCCCUUU